ACCAAGAUGGCCGAGUGGUUUAAGGCGGUAGAUUUAAGUGUUUUUUGGCAUAAUCUCUACUAUCGAAAGAUGCCUGGGUUCGAACCCCAGUCUUGGUA
Transfer RNA from Metarhizium majus ARSEF 297, 98 nucleotides. It matches the Rfam family "tRNA". Rfam says of the family: Transfer RNA (tRNA) molecules are approximately 80 nucleotides in length. Their secondary structure includes four short double-helical elements and three loops (D, anti-codon, and T loops). Lineage: Eukaryota; Fungi; Ascomycota; Sordariomycetes; Hypocreales; Clavicipitaceae. The record is from Rfam.